This 69-nucleotide transfer RNA is filed under the name Rattus norvegicus (Norway rat). It matches the Rfam family "tRNA". From Rfam's summary of the family: Transfer RNA (tRNA) molecules are approximately 80 nucleotides in length. Their secondary structure includes four short double-helical elements and three loops (D, anti-codon, and T loops). Lineage: Eukaryota; Metazoa; Chordata; Mammalia; Rodentia; Muridae. The record is from Rfam by way of RNAcentral.
GGAGAUUUAGCUCAGUGGUAGAGCGCUUACCUAGCAAGCACAAGGCCCUGGGUUCGGUCCCCAGCUCCG